AGUGAACGCUGGCGGUAGGCCUAACACAUGCAAGUCGAACGGCAGCACAGUAAGAGCUUGCUCUUACGGGUGGCGAGUGGCGGACGGGUGAGGAAUACAUCGGAAUCUACUUUUUCGUGGGGGAUAACGUAGGGAAACUUACGCUAAUACCGCAUACGACCUACGGGUGAAAGCAGGGGAUCUUCGGACCUUGCGCGAUUGAAUGAGCCGAUGUCGGAUUAGCUAGUUGGCGGGGUAAAGGCCCAUCAAGGCGACGAUCCGUAGCUGGUCUGAGAGGAUGGUCGGCCACACUGGAGCUGAGACACGGUCCAGACUCCUACGGGAGGCAGCAGUGGGGAAUAUUGGACAAUGGGCGCAAGCCUGAUCCAGCCAUACCGCGUGGGUGAAGAAGACCUUGGGGUUGUAAAGCCCUUUUGUUGGGAAAGAAAAGCAGCAGGUUAAUACCCCGCUGUUCUGACGGUACCCAAAGAAUAAGCACCGGCUAACUUCGUG
This 492-nucleotide ribosomal RNA is filed under the name uncultured bacterium. RNAcentral describes it as "partial 16S ribosomal RNA". It matches the Rfam family "Bacterial small subunit ribosomal RNA", at positions 29 to 507 of the family's 1533-position model. The record is from RNAcentral.